UGCGUAGGCGGUUUUUUAAGUCAGAUGUGAAAUUCCCGGGCUUAACUUGGGGACUGCAUCUGAUACUGGAAGACUUGAGUGCAGGAGAGGAAAGUGGAAUUCCUAGUGUAGCGGUGAAAUGCAUAGAUAUUAGGAGGAACACCAGUGGCGAAGGCGACUUUCUGGACUGCAACUGACGCUGAGGCACGAAAGCGUGGGGAGCAAACA
Molecule: ribosomal RNA, 207 nt
Filed under: uncultured bacterium
Lineage: Bacteria
Description: partial 16S ribosomal RNA
Rfam family: Bacterial small subunit ribosomal RNA
Source: RNAcentral